RNAcentral lists this long non-coding RNA (738 nucleotides) under Homo sapiens (human). Its description in RNAcentral is "HSALNT0137328". Lineage: Eukaryota; Metazoa; Chordata; Mammalia; Primates; Hominidae. The record is from RNAcentral.
UAAAAGACCAGUUGAAGAACAGCCAAAACCUGUCUCUGCUCACGUUGCUCUCAAGGUUGCCACGUCCACCUGACGUGCAUCUGCAUCCUGCUGCCCUGAGAUGUUGCUAAGUGACCAGCAACCAGGCUCAAAAGCUACAACGCCUGCUGCUGCAGUGCAAAAAUAAACAGUUCAGAACGCCAGUUUGGAACCAGUAUCAGGAAGCAGUUGGAUUUUCUGAUGCAAAGGGGAUUUUUGCUUCUGCCUGAGAACAGCCGAGAUUAUGUCAUAAGAAAGGGGCAGAAGAAGCAUCACCAACUCUAAGGAACCAAAGUCUCUCCAGCCACCAAAAUGAAUGCAGCUGCCACUUAGGGGAAGUGGACAAGGACAGAACCACCCAGAGAUGAUGGUGAGAAAAGGCAGAAGGCCUGGGAGCUGGAAAAUGACUCCAUGGAGUAAAAGAUCACAGCAUCCUUUGGGACAAGACCGAUGUUCAUGACAAGGGGUCCCCGAUCUCCGGGCCUUGGAGGCGUACCUGUCUGCGACCUGUUAGGAACCAGGCCACACAGCAGGAGGGACACUGUGGACAGCGGUUUACUGAGUCAAACAUCUCAGGAGCAGAAUGUUGAAUGCCACCCUCUCCUCAAGAUGGCAUAGUAGAGCAUGUGUGCAUGUAAUUAUUUUCACUAAACACUAUAUAUGUUCUAAAUUUGUUUGCACUUGAAAUAGGAAUGCUUUACUUUUAAUAAGGUCUCAGGA